UGGAUAGCCCUCCCUCUCCCCCAGCCCUUUAAAGUUAUAUAGAUAGGACUGCAGUACUCCAAAGCUUUGAGAAAGACUGGGGAGGUGCAGGAGGAGAAGGAGAAAGGAGAAGCUAUUCAACAUUUGUUUGAUGGUUUCUUGUAAACAAACAUUUUAGUAGUUUUGCCAAGGUCUCUGUAGCUGGCCUCCUGACAAAAGAAUAACUGUUCAGAGAGAAUCAGCAUGAGGCCAUUCAGCACAAUAAUACUCUUUUGGAGCCUCAUACAAACGUGGCAGAGAGGGUGGGUGUGCACUACAAAUCAAUCUCUGGGCUUUGACAGGGUGCAUUAUAAAUUGGAAGGGGAAGGGGGAGUCAGUGGAAACAACGGUUAUCCAGAGAUCCUCAUAAAUACAAGGUUCCAGGCAUUGCAGCCAUGCUGAGUUUGCAGGAUGAUGAACUGAACCAUAAACACUGACUCUGAGCGUUGGCAAGGCAGCAGAACGGCGUUAGGAAUUCUCUCCUGCAUUGGAACCUAACCUUAUUCUGAACUAUAACUCAUACACAGGAGAUACAGAUUGGGCCACAGUAAGAGAUUAAAGAAAACAGCACACAGCAGGAUUCUGCAUGUGUUCAAAGAUGAUUUGUUGCCAGUGCAUUUCAGAGCUUGAUUUACUCUAUCCCCUUUUCAGGUAAUAACUAAAACAUGUCCAAUCUUAAGAAAUUUGAAUUUUCAUAUUUUGAGAAGAAUUUAUUAUUAUUUAUUGCCACUAUCAAUGAGUUACUUGAAUUCUGUUCUUAAAAGGAAGAUGCUCUUUUAAAGUAAAGCCCUCUUAUAAGAAAGUUCAUUUAACUUUUACUUAGUUCACACUAGCAAGGUAGACCAAGAAUUCUUCAAAUUAAAGCUAAUCUAUAGGUAGAAGCAAGGAAAACAAGUUAAAAGCAAAGGUUGGUUGAAGUACUGCAUUUCAUUAGCAGGUCCUAAGAGUAAUUGAUCGGCAGCAAUUAUGCACUAAGCUGUCACUAAAUUAUGAAAAUAAACCUCUUCUGUACAGAAGUCAGCUAAUCUUUCUAUUUAUAAUACCCCCCACCAUUCUUUUACAGGCAAUUUCUUCUCAUGGGAAAAAGCUAGAGGAAUCCAUCCAAUGGGUAAUCACACAGCUAGUGGCAAGUCUGACUUCCCUUCUAAAAAUCUCAGAUAUUGGUCUAACUUGGCAAGCAGAAGUUAUCUGAAAGCACCAGAAGGACAGCAUUGUUUCAAGACUAUGCAAAUCAAGUGUGGGAAAGUUGCACCUUAAGUAAAUAAGAGCACUAGUGCAUGUCUGGGCAGUGAGUGGGAGGACAGAAUGGACUUCAAAGCGCAGCAGCAGAAUUCUACAUUCAUCAGAGCCUACUGACAAGAUUUCAUCCCAGCUAUUAACCUCUCAGCACUCCAAGCCUGGCUCACAAUGGUGACUGCAGCUACUGAGGUGCAUCACACGACAGCAGCAUUUUAAUCAGCACCUUAUCUGGUUACAGGGCGAUUUUCUCACGGAGCCCCACUUGUUGAAGGCUAGUAGGGCACUGGAGGUACUGAAGUAGGAACUGAAGCUGGAAUAAAAGCCAUGGAUGAGAAUGCAAGCCUCUCAACUGCACAUCUCACACAAUGAGCUGAGGCCCAACUUUACCAGCUUCCCAACUAGUUUACUUCUACUGAGGCCUUCAUUCCACAACGAAGCACCAGAAAAAGCAGUGCCUACCCAGAGGACAUCUUUUACGUCUCCAGGACCCAGAAACAGUAAGAUUUGUCAUUAAAAAGAGGGAAAGGCCAAAUAUUUUAUUUUUUAAAGAUGGAAGUAAGACAUUCAAAAAACUUUUUCCAUCAUAUUUUACACUGAAGCUAUUUAGACGCUGGAGGGUUUUUUCCACCCUCGAUAGUUUGCUGUUGGGCUGGUGCAAUUGGCCCCAAUAUUAAAUAAUUACAAGGAUCAUAAUUUCAGGAUAAACAAGCCGUUUGAAAGUAGAGCUGAGCAUACCAAAGGAACUGCCAACUUUGACCUGCUUCUUACUCACAGCCUCAUCAAAUACGCAAAAAACCUCUCUUCACAUAAAAGCGGAGUUUACUGCUAAGCUUUGCUUUGUUAUCCAUGUGUGGCUCCCUGAAGGUACAGCAGGCAUCAGACUAUGAAUGCCGUUUGAUUCCUUAAGAAAGGCAAGAGAUUUGAUUUAUGCCAGAGAAGAGCAUGUGUCUACCAAACAAAACUUGUUGAGACUGACUUUGACAAGUGGAACAUGGAAAUUCUUUUGUUCCAUACUUUCCUGUAUGGCUUCAUAAGCCAGGCCUGCCCAUCAAGAAAAAUCAAUCAAAUCUCUAAAAGAAUGCAUGGAUAAAGCCUAGCUGUGUGUGUAUAUUUUAAAAAUAUUAUUAUCAUUGCAAAUUACUGUAGAAUUGCAAGCUACUGCAGGGAUGGCUUUCUGGAUGCACUCUGGUGUGUUUUUUUCUGCUGGUCUGCUGCCCUGUUCCCUAGCAACUUUGUCAAACUUCCAAUCACUUAAAUGAAUUUAUGGCCCACCAUCUCCACAGCCAUUACUCACAAGGAUACAUAUCAAAACUGACAACAGCUAACUGUGUGAGUUUGUAAUAAGACUCCAAUGCUUCAAAUCUACAUUACAACUACAAGCCAAAUCUAACAGUACAUUUACAUUACACACCAUUUUCUUUUGUUCAAAACCUCCAACACAACAUACCUAUUUCUGACAAAAGGCCAGUGGGGCAGCUUGACUGGGAAGAAGUGCUUUGUC
Molecule: non-coding RNA, 2758 nt
Organism: Phasianus colchicus (ring-necked pheasant)
Lineage: Eukaryota; Metazoa; Chordata; Aves; Galliformes; Phasianidae
Source: RefSeq, a predicted model, not a curated record